AUCCUGUAGCGCAGAGGAUAGCGCGUCGGAUUUCUAAUCCAAAGGUUGUGGGUUCCAAUCCCACCUGGGAUG
RNAcentral lists this transfer RNA (72 nucleotides) under Trichonephila inaurata madagascariensis. Its description in RNAcentral is "tRNA-Arg". It matches the Rfam family "tRNA". Rfam says of the family: Transfer RNA (tRNA) molecules are approximately 80 nucleotides in length. Their secondary structure includes four short double-helical elements and three loops (D, anti-codon, and T loops). Lineage: Eukaryota; Metazoa; Arthropoda; Arachnida; Araneae; Nephilidae. The record is from RNAcentral.